RNAcentral lists this ribosomal RNA (497 nucleotides) under uncultured bacterium. RNAcentral describes it as "partial 16S ribosomal RNA". It matches the Rfam family "Bacterial small subunit ribosomal RNA", at positions 28 to 507 of the family's 1533-position model. The record is from RNAcentral.
GAUGAACGCUGGCGGCGUGCCUAAUACAUGCAAGUCGAGCGAACAGAUGAUGAUCUUUCUCCUCUUACGUUAUCGGCUGACGUGUGAUUAACACUUGUAUAACCUACCUAUAUUACUGGUAUAACUUCGGGAAACCGGAUCUAAUACCGGAUAAUAUAUUGAACCGCAUGGUUCAAUAGUUAAAUCCGUUUUUUCUGUCUCUUAUAGAUGGUUCCUCGCCGCAUUAUCUAGUUGGUAAGGUAACGGCUUACCAAGGCAACGAUGCGUAGCCGACCUGAGAGGGGGAUCGGCGACACUGGAAGUGAGAAACGGAAAAGAGGACGACGGGAGGAAGCAGUAGGGAAUAGUAGGCAAUGGGCGAAAGCAUGACGGAGAAAAGCCGAGGGAGAGAUGAAGGUAUUCGGAGCGUAAAAAUAUGUUAUUAGGGAAGAAAAAAUGUGUAAGUAAAUAUGAACGGAGUGACGGUAAAGAAAAAGAAAGCAACGGCUAACUACGUG